CCCUUAGAUGUUCUGGGCCGCACACGCGCUACACUGAAACGAUCAGCUAGUUUCUCCCUCUCCGAGAGGAGCGGGAAAACUGUUGAACCCUUUUCGUGGUAGGGAUUGGAGCUUGCAAUUGUUCUCCAUGAACCAGGAAUUCCCAGUAGGCGCGAGUCAUAAGCUCGCGUCGAUUACGUCCCUGCCCUUUGUACACACCGCCCGUCGCUACUACCGAUUGAGUGUUUUAGUGAGGUCCUCGGAUUGCUGCCUCGGAGGGAUUAUUCCUUUCUUUGCGGCGAGAAGACGACCAAACUGUAGCACUUAGAGGAAGUAAAAGUCGUAACA
RNAcentral lists this ribosomal RNA (327 nucleotides) under uncultured eukaryote. RNAcentral describes it as "partial 18S ribosomal RNA". It matches the Rfam family "Eukaryotic small subunit ribosomal RNA", at positions 1470 to 1796 of the family's 1831-position model. The record is from RNAcentral.